UCAGGACGAACGCUGGCGGCGUGCUUAACACAUGCAAGUCGAGCGGAAAGGCCCCUUCGGGGGUACUCGAGCGGCGAACGGGUGAGUAACACGUGAGCAACCUGCCCCUGACUCUGGGAUAAGCCCGGGAAACUGGGUCUAAUACCGGAUAUGACCACGGGUCGCAUGGCCUUGUGGUGGAAAGUUUUUCGGUUGGGGAUGGGCUCGCGGCCUAUCAGCUUGUUGGUGGGGUGAUGGCCUACCAAGGCGACGACGGGUAACCGGCCUGAGAGGGCGACCGGUCACACUGGGACUGAGACACGGCCCAGACUCCUACGGGAGGCAGCAGUGGGGAAUAUUGCGCAAUGGGCGGAAGCCUGACGCAGCGACGCCGCGUGGGGGAUGACGGCCUUCGGGUUGUAAACCUCUUUCAGCAGGGACGAAGCUAACGUGACGGUACCUGCAGAAGAAGCGCCGGCUAACUACGUGCCAGCAGCCGCGGUAAUACGUAGGGCGCAAGCGUUGUCCGGAAUUAUUGGGCGUAAAGAGCUCGUAGGCGGUUUGUCGCGUCUGUCGUGAAAGCCCACGGCUUAACUGUGGGUCUGCGGUGGAUACGGGCAGACUAGAGGCAGGUAGGGGAGAAUGGAAUUCCCGGUGUAGCGGUGAAAUGCGCAGAUAUCGGGAGGAACACCGGUGGCGAAGGCGGUUCUCUGGGCCUGUAC
RNAcentral lists this ribosomal RNA (701 nucleotides) under Actinomadura sp. L2003. RNAcentral describes it as "bacterial SSU rRNA". It matches the Rfam family "Bacterial small subunit ribosomal RNA", at positions 24 to 740 of the family's 1533-position model. The record is from RNAcentral. Lineage: Bacteria; Bacillati; Actinomycetota; Actinomycetes; Streptosporangiales; Thermomonosporaceae.